AGGGAUUGCCUCAGUAACGGCGAGUGAAGCGGCAAAAGCUCAAAUUUGAAAUCUAGCACUUUCAGUGUUCGAGUUGUAAUUUGAAGAAGGUAACUUUGGUUUUGGCUCUUGUCUAUGUUCCUUGGAACAGGACGUCACAGAGGGUGAGAAUCCCGUGCGAUGAGAUGCCCAAUUCCAUGUAAAGUGCUUUCGAAGAGUCGAGUUGUUUGGGAAUGCAGCUCUAAGUGGGUGGUAAAUUCCAUCUAAAGCUAAAUAUUGGCGAGAGACCGAUAGCGAACAAGUACAGUGAUGGAAAGAUGAAAAGAACUUUGAAAAGAGAGUGAAAAAGUACGUGAAAUUGUUGAAAGGGAAGGGCUUGAGAUCAGACUUGGUAUUUUGCGUUCCCUUCCUUUUUGGUUGGGUUCCUCGCAGUUUACUGGGCCAGCAUCGGUUUGGAUGGUAGGAUAAUGA
This 450-nucleotide ribosomal RNA is filed under the name Dujonia zeylanoides. Its description in RNAcentral is "[Candida] zeylanoides partial large subunit ribosomal RNA". It matches the Rfam family "Eukaryotic large subunit ribosomal RNA", at positions 70 to 525 of the family's 3401-position model. The record is from RNAcentral. Lineage: Eukaryota; Fungi; Ascomycota; Pichiomycetes; Serinales; Debaryomycetaceae.